This 345-nucleotide unclassified non-coding RNA is filed under the name soil metagenome. RNAcentral describes it as "partial contains 5.8S ribosomal RNA, internal transcribed spacer 2, and large subunit ribosomal RNA". The stretch from base 1 to 119 matches the Rfam family "5.8S ribosomal RNA", at positions 35 to 154 of the family's 154-position model. The record is from RNAcentral.
GAUGAAGAACGCAGCGAAAUGCGAUACGUAAUGUGAAUUGCAAAUUCAGUGAAUCAUCGAGUCUUUGAACGCACAUUGCGCCCCCUGGUAUUCCGGGGGGCAUGCCUGUCCGAGCGUCAUUGCUGCCCUCAAGCACGGCUUGUGUGUUGGGCCCCGUCCUCCGAUCCCGGGGGACGGGCCCGAAAGGCAGCGGCGGCACCGCGUCCGGUCCUCGAGCGUAUGGGGCUUUGUCACCCGCUCUGUAGGCCCGGCCGGCGCUUGCCGAUCAACCCAAAUUUUUAUCCAGGUUGACCUCGGAUCAGGUAGUGAUACCCGCUGAACUUAAGCAUAUCAAUAAGCGGAGGA